AGUGGCUGACGAGUCCCAAAUAUGACGAAACGCACGUCUCGGAU
RNAcentral lists this non-coding RNA (44 nucleotides) under Schistosoma curassoni. The record is from RNAcentral. Lineage: Eukaryota; Metazoa; Platyhelminthes; Trematoda; Strigeidida; Schistosomatidae.